CCUGCCCCUAGAAGCAUUGCAGGUGUGACUGCUGUGUCAUGUGUGUGUCAGUAAGUGACAGAGAGGCUAUGUCUACGCUCAGUGUUCUUACCUAUGAACAUCUGAAUAAUGAAUGGCCGAAAUU
This 124-nucleotide small nucleolar RNA is filed under the name Mus pahari (shrew mouse). Its description in RNAcentral is "predicted gene, 24555 (MGP_PahariEiJ_G0034672.1)". It matches the Rfam family "Small nucleolar RNA SNORA17". From Rfam's summary of the family: snoRNA ACA 17 belongs to the H/ACA family of snoRNAs and is predicted to guide pseudouridylation of the 28S rRNA at positions U4659 and U4598. The record is from RNAcentral. Lineage: Eukaryota; Metazoa; Chordata; Mammalia; Rodentia; Muridae.